Long non-coding RNA from Magnolia sinica, 252 nucleotides. RefSeq lists it as uncharacterized. The transcript is spliced from 2 exons. The record is from RefSeq and is a predicted model, not a curated record. Lineage: Eukaryota; Viridiplantae; Streptophyta; Magnoliopsida; Magnoliales; Magnoliaceae.
UUUUUGCAGUGGCUAUAAGUACAUGCCUUAUCAACUUUUGGCUUGCCACGUCACGAUGGAGAUAAAAGAGAAAGAUGGCGAUGAUGUUAAGAUGCAAGGACAAGGAAACAAGUAUGCAUGGCUAUGGAACUUGACUAGAAAGUAGGUGGUAAGGAAGUUGUCGAAAUAGGAAGAAGACGAUGAUUUUUUGUAUAUUUGUUUAUUAUGUUAAACUUAUAUGUAUUUAUGCGUGAAUAAGUGUGAUGCGGAUAA